UUGUAUUCAGAUUUGAAAGGAAAUGAAAGCAAGAGCCUUCAAGGAUUCCAAGUAAUCACAUAUAACUCAAUUCAAAUAAGAAGGUUAGAUGAAUUCAAUAUCCAAAGGAAUGAAACUGGAAUAGGCACAUAUCGAAAACAAAUGCGGAACAAUGGGAUAUACAUGUGCCUAUAUGAGUCAAUACGAUAUAGCAUAAACGAUAC
This 203-nucleotide long non-coding RNA is filed under the name Musa acuminata (dwarf banana). Its description in RNAcentral is "long non-coding RNA (MACU_LNC011704)". Lineage: Eukaryota; Viridiplantae; Streptophyta; Magnoliopsida; Zingiberales; Musaceae. The record is from RNAcentral.